AACCAAUGGCCCCCUGAACGCGCAUUGCACUCUUGGGACUUCCUGAGAGUAUGUUUGCUUCAGUGCU
Molecule: ribosomal RNA, 67 nt
Filed under: Symbiodinium sp. clade D ex Pteraeolidia ianthina
Lineage: Eukaryota; Dinophyceae; Suessiales; Symbiodiniaceae
Also listed under: 3 other names
Description: partial 5.8S ribosomal RNA
Source: RNAcentral